GGGCUUGUUCGGUUUUGACAGCGAGUUGAGGUGGUAUGUAAGCAUGCAGAGCGUGGAUAAUAGGGCUCUAUAAUCUCCAUUAUCAAAAUUUAUCUGGCAACGAAAAUUAUGCUCUCGCUGCGUGAUUGAAGCAAAGUAAAUCACCUUUAUUUCCGGCAUAGUGCCGGGAACGGGAUGUCGCUCAAAAGCUCUUGUUCCGAAGCGUUUGACAAAGCGGCACAGCAAAUUCGGAAAUAAUCGAAAGUUCGCCUCGCGCUUUCGACGAAAUCUGAGAGGAUAAGGCACAAGUGGGUGGCUUUGGUCUUGCCUGUGCACGAAAACCGAAGGCAAAGCUAAGCAUGUAGAAAGCAUAUGGUCUCCUUGUUUGGACGAGGGUUCGACUCCCUCCAGGUCCACCG
This is a non-coding RNA of Bacteroidetes bacterium oral taxon 272, 398 nucleotides long. The record is from Rfam. NCBI's taxonomy places the organism in Bacteria, Pseudomonadati, Bacteroidota.